AUAACAAUUAGAAAUGAUUGCUAAUACCGCAUAAGACCCCAGUACCGCAUGGUACAGAGGUAAAAACUGAGGUGGUGUAAGAUGGGCCCGCGUCUGAUUAGGUAGUUGGUGGGGUAGAAGCCUACCAAGCCGACGAUCAGUAGCCGACCUGAGAGGGCGACCGGCCACAUUGGGACUGAGACACGGCCCAAACUCCUACGGGAGGCAGCAGUGGGGAAUAUUGCACAAUGGGGGAAACCCUGAUGCAGCGACGCCGCGUGAGUGAGGAAGUAUUUCGGUAUGUAAAGCUCUAUCAGCAGGGAAGAAAAUGACGGUACCUGACUAAGAAGCCCCGGCUAACUACGUGCCAGCAGCCGCGGUAAUACGUAGGGGGCAAGCGUUAUCCGGAUUUACUGGGUGUAAAGGGAGCGUAGACGGAUAAGCAAGUCUGAUGUGAAAAUCCGGGGCCCAACCCCGGAAUUGCAUUGGAAACUGCAUAUCUAGAGUGUCGGAGGGGCAAGUGGAAUUCCUGGUGUAGCGGUGAAAUGCGUAGAUAUCAGGAGGAACACCAGUGGCGAAGGCGGCUUGCUGGACGAUGACUGACGUUGAGGCUCGAAAGCGUGGGGAGCAAACAGGAUCAGAUACCCUGGUAGUCCACGCCGUAAACGAUGACUACGAGGUGUCGGGAGGCAAAGCCUUUCGGUG
This 684-nucleotide ribosomal RNA is filed under the name uncultured bacterium. RNAcentral describes it as "bacterial SSU rRNA". It matches the Rfam family "Bacterial small subunit ribosomal RNA", at positions 143 to 845 of the family's 1533-position model. The record is from RNAcentral.